This 615-nucleotide long non-coding RNA is filed under the name Mytilus galloprovincialis (Mediterranean mussel). Lineage: Eukaryota; Metazoa; Mollusca; Bivalvia; Mytilida; Mytilidae. The record is from RNAcentral.
UGCCCAGUCCCUAAGUACCUUGACUUUUGAUACCUCUCUCUGUAUAGUAAUUAAAGUAUAAAUGCAUGUUCAUAGAGUACAGAUAAACAGAAGGUAUAAAAAUCGGUAUUUGGAAAAUAGGGGGAGGGCAAAAAAUGUGCCCAGUCCCUAAGUACCUUUGACUUUUGAUACCUCUCUCUGUAUAUUAAUUCAAGUAUAAAUGCAUGUUCAUAGAGUACAGAUAAACGAAGGUAUAAAAAUCGGUAUUUGGAAAAUAGGGGGAGGGCAAAAAAUGUGCCCAGUCCCUAAGUACCUUUGACUUUUGGUACCUCUCCUGAAAUUCUCUGUAUAGUAAUUAAAGUAUAUAUGCAUGUUCAUAGAAUACAGAAAAACAGAAGGUAUAAAAAUCGGUAUUUGGAAAAUAGGGGGAGGGCAAAAAAUCUGCCCAGUCCCUAAGUACCUUUGACUUUUGAUAUCUCUCCUGAAAUUGAAAAUAGGGGGAGGGCAAAAAAAUGUGCCCAGUCCCUAAGUACCUUUGACUUUUGAUAUCUCUCCUGAAAUUUUCCAGUCAGUAUAUUUUUUUACAGUUUACGUACGCUCUAUUUCCCCGCGAUUUCGCGGGUGUGUUCUAGUAAA